CAACCCAUGUGAACCAUACCAAACUGUUGCCUCGGCGGGGUCACGCCCCGGGUGCGUCGCAGCCCCGGAACCAGGCGCCCGCCGGAGGGACCAACCAAACUCUUUCUGUAGUCCCCUCGCGGACGUUAUUUCUUACAGCUCUGAGCAAAAAUUCAAAAUGAAUCAAAACUUUCAACAACGGAUCUCUUGGUUCUGGCAUCGAUGAAGAACGCAGCGAAAUGCGAUAAGUAAUGUGAAUUGCAGAAUUCAGUGAAUCAUCGAAUCUUUGAACGCACAUUGCGCCCGCCAGUAUUCUGGCGGGCAUGCCUGUCCGAGCGUCAUUUCAACCCUCGAACCCCUCCGGGGGGUCGGCGUUGGGGAUCGGGAACCCCUAAGACGGGAUCCCGGCCCCGAAAUACAGUGGCGGUCUCGCCGCAGCCUCUCCUGCGCAGUAGUUUGCACAACUCGCACCGGGAGCGCGGCGCGUCCACGUCCGUAAAACACCCAACUUCUGAAAUGUUGACCUCGGAUCAGGUAGGAAUACCCGCUGAACUUAAGCAUAUCAAUAAGCGGAGGAACUGUUGCAAAAGCAAAAGAAGCUCCNCCAUGUGAUUAUAUUUUANGGCGUGAAUAGGGAGGAGGCGUGCCUGAUCACAUACAGAAGAACGAAUGUUCGGAGUGAUAGGUAUAUCAUGAGAGGAUUAGAGAAAAUAUAUCCGAGGAAAAUGCUGAUGCACCACAUGCAGAACGAAUAAGAGGCUUAACCACACAUACCACGAGUAACUUCGAAGAACUAAAUGAAGACUCCACGGAAUCCGCAACGUAGUGAGGAUGAAUCACGAGAGGAGGUAUUAUGAUGGUCCGGAUCAUGAUCAUGACACAUUAUUGGACAUAAUAACGAACGNGUCUGAAAUGAAUGAUCAAAACAACCAUAUGCACCUCAGAGGUCAG
Molecule: ribosomal RNA, 930 nt
Filed under: Trichoderma koningiopsis
Lineage: Eukaryota; Fungi; Ascomycota; Sordariomycetes; Hypocreales; Hypocreaceae
Description: eukaryotic LSU rRNA
Rfam family: 5.8S ribosomal RNA (bases 167-320)
Source: RNAcentral